AUUGAACGCUGGCGGCAUGCCUUACACAUGCAAGUCGAACGGUAACAGGUCUUCGGAUGCUGACGAGUGGCGAACGGGUGAGUAAUACAUCGGAACGUGCCCAGACGUGGGGGAUAACGAGGCGAAAGCUUUGCUAAUACCGCAUACGAUCUAAGGAUGAAAGCAGGGGACCGCAAGGCCUUGCGCGUUUGGAGCGGCCGAUGGCAGAUUAGGUAGUGGGUGGGAUAAAAGCUUACCAAGCCGACGAUCUGUAGCUGGUCUGAGAGGACGACCAGCCACACUGGGACUGAGACACGGCCCAGACUCCUACGGGAGGCAGCAGUGGGGAAUUUUGGACAAUGGGCGAAAGCCUGAUCCAGCAAUGCCGCGUGCAGGAUGAAGGCCUUCGGGUUGUAAACUGCUUUUGUACGGAACGAAAAGGCUCUGGCUAAUACCUGGGGCACAUGACGGUACCGUAAGAAUAAGCACCGGCUAACUACGUG
RNAcentral lists this ribosomal RNA (482 nucleotides) under uncultured bacterium. Its description in RNAcentral is "partial 16S ribosomal RNA". It matches the Rfam family "Bacterial small subunit ribosomal RNA", at positions 30 to 507 of the family's 1533-position model. The record is from RNAcentral.